UAAAACGACUCUCGGCAACGG
Molecule: non-coding RNA, 21 nt
Filed under: Arabidopsis thaliana (thale cress)
Lineage: Eukaryota; Viridiplantae; Streptophyta; Magnoliopsida; Brassicales; Brassicaceae
Source: RNAcentral